UACAGAGGUCCCAAGCGUUGUUCGGAUUCACUGGGCGUAAAGGGUGCGUAGGCGGUCUCGCAAGUCUGGCGUGAAAGCCCAAGGCUCAGCCUUGGAAGUGCGCUCGAAACGGCGAGGCUGGAGUGCCGGAGGGGAGAGUGGAAUUCCUGGUGUAGCGGUGAAAUGCGUAGAGAUCAGGAAGAACACCGGUGGCGAAGGCGCUCUGCUAGGCCGUAACUGACACUGAGGGACGAAAGCUAGGGGAGCGAAUGGG
RNAcentral lists this ribosomal RNA (253 nucleotides) under uncultured bacterium. Its description in RNAcentral is "partial 16S ribosomal RNA". It matches the Rfam family "Bacterial small subunit ribosomal RNA", at positions 524 to 776 of the family's 1533-position model. The record is from RNAcentral.